AUACGUAGGUGGCAAGCGUUGUCCGGAAUUAUUGGGCGUAAAGCGCGCGCAGGUGGUUCCUUAAGUCUGAUGUGAAAGCCCCCGGCUCAACCGGGGAGGGUCAUUGGAAACUGGGGAACUUGAGUGCAGAAGAGGAUAGUGGAAUUCCAAGUGUAGCGGUGAAAUGCGUAGAGAUUUGGAGGAACACCAGUGGCGAAGGCGACUGUCUGGUCUGUAACUGACACUGAGGCGCGAAAGCGUGGGGAGCAAACAGGAUUAGAUACCCUGGUAGUCCACGCCGUAAGCGAUGAGUGCUAAGUGUUGGGGGGUUUCCGCCCCUCAGUGCUGCAGCUAACGCAUUAAGCACUCCGCCUGGGGAGUACGGUCGCAAGACUGAAACUCAAAGGAAUUGACGGGG
RNAcentral lists this ribosomal RNA (397 nucleotides) under uncultured bacterium. RNAcentral describes it as "partial 16S ribosomal RNA". It matches the Rfam family "Bacterial small subunit ribosomal RNA", at positions 523 to 918 of the family's 1533-position model. The record is from RNAcentral.